GGGGUCGAGCCCAGCAGACUGCGGAUGCAACGCAAACUGCAACAACGUGGCUGGGAGUUACCACUGCACCUGCAUCAAUGGCUACAAGCCCAGCUCUGGGGAAGCCAACUUCACGCACGCGAGUGAGAACACCUGCCAGGAUAUUGACGAGUGUCAGGGCCUGAGCCCGGCAGACUGUGGACCCCACGCAAACUGCACCAAUGUGCCUGGGAAUUACUCCUGCACCUGCAUCGAUGGCUACGAGCCCAGCUCUGGGAAAGCCAAGUUCACGCACGCGAGU
Molecule: long non-coding RNA, 280 nt
Filed under: Chrysemys picta bellii (western painted turtle)
Lineage: Eukaryota; Metazoa; Chordata; Testudines; Emydidae
Description: lncRNA (ENSCPBG00000011643.1)
Source: RNAcentral